GGGCUCAGAUGGGUCGGUAGAUUAUACGGUCACCCUUGUCAUGUCGGAUUAUGAACAAAAUUUCAAGAGCUGCCUCCCUUCAACAAACCCACUGUGCAAAAACCCAUCUUCCUAGUCAAGCAAAUUAGGAAGAGAUUAUUCAUUUUCCAAAAGACUUUUCCUUUGGCCAGGAAAGAACACCCUUAGUUUGCCAGAAAAUCCUGCCAGCCGCCUCCCUGAGUGCAUGGACUGCUAGAUUCCGUUUUGUAAAAUCGAGACAGCGGCUCAGGCGCACAUGCAGUGCGUGGAGUGCAGAAGGCCUGGGUACUCCGGAAGCUUCCAGAGACAGCGUGGGGCGGCUGACGUGCGGGGAGACACAGACGUGGAGGACGCCACGGCCGCCUCGCCCCCAGGGCUCCCGGAGCGCGGCUGGCUGAGGAGCCAAGCAGAUGGUGCUGCUGAGCGUUUCCUGCCUGGGCGGGAGGAGGUGGGGUUGCCGCCGGCGGGGCCUGUGACUGUGAGUGCGGCUCGCUGAGCAGCUGAUGUGGGGGGUAGGGGGGGCGCGGAUUACGCCAUGUGUGACGGCAGAGGGGGGACAACGUGUCGAGAGACGUGGCCUUGGAUGUAAGGAAGGGUCGUGAGAAAAUACGCAGGAAGAGAUACCCCGUGGACAUGUUUCCCUUGGAAAGUGGAGGGAACCCUCUGAGCCGUGAUUCCGCCUGAAUUAAGCAGUGGCGGGCACUGGCCUGGCAGGCGGCUUCUACUGCCUUGGAUUUGCACCUCUAAGGGGUCACAGGGGCCACCCCCGAAACAAGACAAAGUGUGAUCAUGGACAGGCCCUCGGGGGGCCGGAAGAAGGAACGGCUCCAGUGAUGAAAGCUGAACGCCAGCUCUCUCCCCAUCGUUCUCCCGGACCAGGAGAGGGCUGCUCGGCAGGGCUAGGUUUAAAAACCUUCCAUGCAACUUACGAAGGCAUCCACAGUGACUUCUGCUGCUGUGGAAGAGUCUCUCCCUUUUGCAAACGCCAGCCACAGAGGUUUAUUUUUCUCCCUGAGAGAAGGAAGAGUGAAGGCUGAGACUGAGACAGAAGGACAGAAGGAGAAGACUUAGAAGCCAGUGAGCCCGGAACCACGAGACGCGCUCUGAGGACACGGGGCCUCGGGGAAACCGGGCACGGGCAGGGGUUGGUCUUGGCUUCCCCGCAACAUUGCCGCGAGCUCGGGUGCCGUCUCCACUCGCAGGCUGGCCUGUCCUCUGCAGCCACGAGCUCAGGCACCGUCUCCGUUCAUAGGCCAGCCUGUUCUCUGCAGCCUGAGGUCCCUGUGGUGCCAACAUCCAGAUGCUGAGAUAAUUCUGCCAGGGUGUUGGCUGAUCGGUGAUUGGUGGUUGGCUGUUCCGUGAGUUCUGCAUUGAUCUUGCUGGCUGAGCGUCCAAUGCGGAGGGGCAGGUGCUGUUAGGGUCUCCACUCCCAUCCCUCUCCCCAGGACUCAUCACCCACUGCAACCGUAAGCUGCUAGGGGCUCACAGCCGUGAGUCUUUGGGACGGGUGGUCCCACCUGGCAUGUAGCUCAGGCUCCUAGCCCCAGGACCCUGCCGCUGCUCCCCUCCCGCCCACAUCUUGGCUUAGCCGUCUUCCCUGGCUGCCAGCCCCUUCCCCUGGUCUUAGUUGGCUUGAGCCACUAAACUGAAAUAGCACACCCUGAGGCCUUCAACAGCAGACCUGAUUUCUCACCAUCUGGAGGCUGGAGGUCCAGGAUCCAGGCCCCCAAGGCUGCUUUCUCCCCCACUCCCCCACCCACCUUCCAGGACACGCAGACUCCACCCUCUUGCUGCCCUGUCUCAGGGCUGUCCCUCUGGGCAAGCAGGCCCCUGGCAUCCCCGUGUGUCUUCUCCUCCUGUUCUUAUAAGGACACCAGUCAUACUGGAUCUGGGCCCACCCUAGUGACCUCAUUUACCUUAAUCACCUCUGAAAGACCUUGUCUCAAAAACAGCCACAUUCUGGGGCACUGAGGGUUAGGGCUUUAACAUGGGAAUUUGAGGGAUGCAAUUCACCCCAUAAAACCCAGACCAUUCCCCCAGUAAAUCACUUUCACAAGAGCUCUUCUCUCAGGCUUUGCUUCUGGGGGAUCCCCCUUGAGAUGGAUCCAUCUAGCUUCCUGCUUCUCAAAGAACAGAGGGGAGAGCUCUGGUGCGAAGGGAACGGGUGGCCUCGGGGACCUGCGGAUAAGCUGCUGGCACUGCCAGGGGACAGGCUGAGCUGAAAGCCAGGAGGAGGGCGGCGAGGCCCGGGGCCGGACCUCAUUCUUCUGAGUGUUAUAAAAUCUGGCUUUGCUCAGAAACUGCCCCAUGUGUGCUUUUGUUAAUUGAAGUGCAAAAUUUUCUCCAAGUAAUAACUGGAGUCGUUUAACAAUACAAAUAAUUUGCACCUUAAUUUGGUCGAUGGCACAAUUGCUAAUUCCUAGAGACUCAGAGGAGCAAAGUGAUCACGAAUUCCAAGAGUGGAAACAAAUCCAUUCCGCAAAUUUCACCCUGGCUUCUUCCUCGCCGGCCUGGGAGCUGCCCCGAGGGUCCUGGAACCUUCAGCUGCUUCCGGGCUCAGCCGGUGUCGUGGGGAGCCAGGUCCUGUGGUGGCUCCCAGCCCCAAAGCUGACUCUGCGUGGGACAACAAACGGUUUAAUUAACCUCUCAGCUUUUUCAUCUGUGAAGCGGAGCUUGGGAUGCUUGCCACCGGACCAGGAGGCCACGAAGACGGAUGUUAGAAAACCUCUGUGCCAGUGACGAAAGACAUCGAAGCUAUAAUACCCUGUUAGGCAAAGCAAGAAGAUAACUCAUACAUGCAGGAGACAGUCUCCUUGUGCAGAGGGGCCUUUGGAACCGAUGUAUGGUGGAGCCCUGAGAAACCUGAAGCUGUGUAGAGCCUGCAGCCCCCGCCCCACGUCCCAAAGCGAUGUGGCCUGGGGAGCUCUUGUCCUGCCCUUUUUGGACACCCCCCUUCUUUGAGGGCAUCUUUCUUCUUAAAGGUGUUGGGGCGGGAGUAGGUGGGGGUCUAGCUUUGCUGAUUUCCUUGUAAGUGCAUUUUAUUAUUAUUAUUAUUAUUAUUAUUAUUAUUAUUAUUAUUUUGAGACAGAAGCUCGCUCUGAUGAGCGAGAUUCAAAAUUAUUAUUUUGAGACGGGGUUUCACUAUGUUGGCCAGGCUGGUCUCGAACUCCUGACCUCAGGGAUCCACCCACCUCGGCCUCCCAAAGUGCUGGGAUUACAGGCAUGAGCCACUGCGCCCAGCCAAGUGCAUUGUUUUUAAAAGGGGUAAAUCAUCUAGUGAAACCCCAUCUCUAUUAAAAUACAAAAAUUAGCCAGGCCUGGUGGUGCACACCUGUAGUCCCAGCGACUCCAGAGUCUGAGGCAGGAGAAUCGCUUGAACCUGGGAGGCGGAGGUUGCAGUGAGCUGAGAUCGCGCCACUGCUCUCCAGCCUCGGUGACAGAGCGAGAUUCCGUCUCAAAAUAAUAAUAAUAAUAGUCUGUCUCUGUGUGUUUAAUUACAAGUAACUAACUAGUUACUGUUGCAACUCAUUUAUUUGGGGACAGGCUCCUAUCUAGUGUCCCACCACGAUAUUAUUUGGGCCAGGAAAGACAUACACAACCGAUGAAAGGCUGGGAGCUGAAUCUUAGUGCUAAAGAUUCGCUGUGGGAAAGCACAGAGCCUAGGAGUUUGCUAAGGGCCUGGGCUCCUACAGGCAGGCACCGCUGACUGAUAGCCAGAAGAUUCUAGACUCCCAGGCCACCGGUUUCUUGAAGUGGCAUUAACCCUGGCAGGCUCUUUGAAGUGUGUGCCCAGAGACUGGGUUGGUGGGGGGUCUGUGCAGGAGCCAGGCCACCUGUGCUCAGAGUCAGCAAUGCGCGUUUCUCUGUCCGUAAGUCAGCGGUGCGGGUCUCUGUGUGACUGUGUCAGGGUGCUCUUGGGAAGAGGGGUGAGGGGCUGUGGGCCUCGAGCUGACGGGACGGGCAGGAAGGCUCACCUACCGAGGACAGCAAGUCAGAGCCAACAGGGGAGCCCUCCGGGGAAAGGGCUUUCAAGCCCUGGCACCACCAAGGUUUCAACCAAGAGACGUUGAACCAGGUUCCAGUAGACAACCCGCUGUCAGGGUGCACAGACUGUGGAAACCAGUGAGAAGUCCUCUUCCUGUACAACACGGUGGCCAGUGCAUGGCUGCAGACCUCAGCCAAAAGCCCACAGCCAGGCCAGCAGUUACAGGCGGCAGCCGGUCUCUUGUCUUCCCAAGGCCCCAGCAGCUCUGUCCUUCCACACAGCCCCUGCUGACGGCCAUCGUUGGUAUGGACACAUCAGGCCUCCAGGCUGCUGCAGGGCCUGUCCCUGGUGGCAGCUGUGACAUUAGUCAUCGAGGGGCUCCCCUGGCCUCCCCUGGCUGGCUGGGAGUGAGGUGACAUAAAUAGACUGAGCAGGUAGCUCUGCAGACCACGGGAUCACCAGCGUCCCUUGUGGCCAGUGUGGCUUUAAAGUGUGUCCCAGAGGUGGCUCUUGAGGCAGUCUUGCUGGACUGUUAUUAGGCACAUCUGCUCCAGGGAGUGCCCAUUCAUUAUGGCCAAAUAAGCAGGCAUAGGCGCCGGCCCCAGACGAGGUCUCUGGGGAACUCCAGGGGUGGGAGAGCCACCCUCUCCAGCGGCCUCAGGGCCCCGGUGCUCGGAAGCCUGGCUCCUCUGGCUUGAGCUCAGGUCUACAGCGAGCAGGGAGUCUUCCUACUGCUGCUCCAAGCUGCCUGGGCCAGCUGUGUUCGCCGAGGGGGCUGCCGGCUCACCACUGCCUGCCUUGAGUGCCAGGGUCUUUUGUGAAAUAAUCAUGUUACUCAAGUUCAGUCCUUGAAUAAAUAGCACAUUUUUG
RNAcentral lists this long non-coding RNA (4873 nucleotides) under Homo sapiens (human). RNAcentral's name for it is "HSALNT0274222". Lineage: Eukaryota; Metazoa; Chordata; Mammalia; Primates; Hominidae. The record is from RNAcentral.